AACAGUGACAGCAGCUGCAUAAAUAAGUGUGGGUAUUUCUAUGAAUGUUGUUUCUGCAUUAAUAAAUUUUGGUAGAAUGUGUGUGUUCAUACAGUGUAGUGUAUUGUUCGACUGUUGUGAGUUGUGAAGUUUAGGAAUGCGUGGAUGUUGUGUGGGAUCUGUACCUGUGAAUUUGGUUAAUGUUUCCUGGAGUGUGUCAGUGAGUUUAUUUAUUAGGUCUGUGUCAGUGUUGUUAAUGGCAAUAUAUUGUUGUCAGUGGAUGUUAUUUCUGGUGUCUAUUCCACUUUGUGUUCUAUUUGUGUGUGUGAAUCGGUUUCAUGUUGUGAUAUUUGUUGUACUACGUGAGUUUUAAUGUUAUCUAAUGUACUGCAUGGUAUGAGAUUUUUGUGGAUGAUGGUUCUUCUUUGAUCUGCUAUGCAUUGUUCUGUAACUGUGAUGUUUGGGUAUCUGCUUGUGAAUUUGUCAUAGAGUUCCCUUCUGUAUCCUGUAGUGUUGGUUUCUAAUUUUGUAAUUGUGUAAUAUGUACACAUGAUGAAUUCAUUCAUGUCUUUUGUCCAUUUCAUGCAUUGGUAUGGUUUUCCAGCCUUGGUGGUCUUUGGCUGAGUUGCCUGGGAAACACUUUGGCUGGUUGGGCUCUGAUGUGGUGACCUGUUCCCUAGUGUGGGUAUGUGUAUUGCAGUAGCCAGACUUGGGUUGGUGCUGCUUUUGCCACCAGU
This 716-nucleotide long non-coding RNA is filed under the name Androctonus crassicauda. The record is from RNAcentral. Lineage: Eukaryota; Metazoa; Arthropoda; Arachnida; Scorpiones; Buthidae.